Molecule: ribosomal RNA, 547 nt
Filed under: uncultured bacterium
Lineage: Bacteria
Description: bacterial SSU rRNA
Rfam family: Bacterial small subunit ribosomal RNA
Source: RNAcentral
GCCAUCCCGCGUGAAGGAUGAAUGCCCUAUGGGUUGUAAACUUCUUUUGCUUGGAAAGAAACGCUCCGAUUUAUCGGAGCCUGACGGUACCUUGCGAAUAAGCACCGGCUAACUCCGUGCCAGCAGCCGCGGUAAUACGGAGGGUGCAAGCGUUAUCCGGAAUCACUGGGUUUAAAGGGUGCGUAGGCGGCGUUAUAAGUCAGAGGUGAAAGCUUGCAGCUUAACUGUAAAAUUGCCUUUGAAACUGUAGUGCUUGAAUCACGUUGAGGUCAGCGGAAUGUGACAUGUAGCGGUGAAAUGCUUAGAUAUGUCAUAGAACACCAAUUGCGUAGGCAGCUGACUGGGCGUGUAUUGACGCUGAGGCACGAAAGCGUGGGUAGCGAACAGGAUUAGAUACCCUGGUAGUCCACGCCCUAAACGAUGCUAACUCGAUAUUUGGGCUUUAAGUCUGAGUGUCUAAGGGAAACCAAUAAGUUAGCCACCUGGGGGAGUACGUUCGCAAGAAUGAAACUCAAAGGAAUUGACGGGGGUCCGCACAAGCGGUGGA